RNAcentral lists this ribosomal RNA (551 nucleotides) under uncultured bacterium. RNAcentral describes it as "bacterial SSU rRNA". It matches the Rfam family "Bacterial small subunit ribosomal RNA", at positions 355 to 896 of the family's 1533-position model. The record is from RNAcentral.
UAGGGAAUCUUCGGCAAUGGACGGAAGUCUGACCGAGCAACGCCGCGUGAGUGAAGAAGGUUUUCGGAUCGUAAAGCUCUGUUGUNNNNNNNNNUACGAGUGUGAGAGUGGAAAGUUCACACUGUGACGGUAUCUUACCAGAAAGGGACGGCUAACUACGUGCCAGCAGCCGCGGUAAUACGUAGGUCCCGAGCGUUGUCCGGAUUUAUUGGGCGUAAAGCGAGCGCAGGCGGUUAGAUAAGUCUGAAGUUAAAGGCUGUGGCUUAACCAUAGUACGCUUUGGAAACUGUUUAACUUGAGUGCAAGAGGGGAGAGUGGAAUUCCAUGUGUAGCGGUGAAAUGCGUAGAUAUAUGGAGGAACACCGGUGGCGAAAGCGGCUCUCUGGCUUGUAACUGACGCUGAGGCUCGAAAGCGUGGGGAGCAAACAGGAUUAGAUACCCUGGUAGUCCACGCCGUAAACGAUGAGUGCUAGGUGUUAGACCCUUUCCGGGGUUUAGUGCCGCAGCUAACGCAUUAAGCACUCCGCCUGGGGAGUACGACCGCAAGGUUG